AAAGUGAACGGAAGUUGAGGAGGCAUCCCUUUUGCCACCUGCCAGCAAUCUCCCAUGAUGAAGUGGGCUAAUCAUCUCAAAAUGAUAACACCUGCUGUUUUCAUAACGAUAGGCUGAUAAAGCUCACACUCAGGCCUAUUGCACGAGAAGACGCAUUGGCGACACACGAAUCGCUCUAAAACGCAGGACGGUCUUUUUUCUUGAACUUUCUUUUUUGCUCAGCUAAACUCCAACAAUGAAGACCCAGUGGUCAAAACAAUCUAAGCAGUCCAGCAAACUGAAGAAACGUGACAAGAAGCGGACACGGGCGUUUUCAAACUACAUCUAUAAGCUUCAGAAGGAGGGUAGCCAUCCGAACUUGGACGUCGCGGCGCUCCUGCCUAAAAGAGAAUCUUCAUGUGUUACUGAUCUGGUCGGCGCUGAAGCGGCCCGGCUGUCGAAGUUCAACAAGCGCAGUGCCAUCACGCAGCGAGAGGUUCUCUCGGCGCUACAACGACUUCAGUGGGGGAAGGAGGAUCACACCACCCGAACAUGAGAUUUUUAUGUAUUUAUUUUUAUGUUUCAGUGAUGUUAAAUGUAUUUAGUGUUCAAUAAACGUGUACAUUUCUUUUAAAA
Sardina pilchardus (European sardine) is the source of this 615-nucleotide long non-coding RNA. RefSeq lists it as uncharacterized. NCBI's taxonomy places the organism in Eukaryota, Metazoa, Chordata, Actinopteri, Clupeiformes, Clupeidae. The transcript has 2 exons. The record is from RefSeq and is a predicted model, not a curated record.